This 1434-nucleotide ribosomal RNA is filed under the name uncultured marine bacterium. RNAcentral's name for it is "16S ribosomal RNA". It matches the Rfam family "Bacterial small subunit ribosomal RNA". The record is from RNAcentral.
GAGUUUGAUCAUGGCUCAGAACGAACGCUGGCGGCAGGCCUAAUACAUGCAAGUCGAGCGCGCCCUUCGGGGUGAGCGGCGGACGGGUGAGUAACGCGUGGGAAUAUGCCCUUCUCUAAGGAAUAGCCUCUGGAAACGGAGAGUAAUACCUUAUACGCCCUUCGGGGGAAAGAUUUAUCGGAGAAGGAUUAGCCCGCGUUAGAUUAGGUAGUUGGUGGGGUAAUGGCCUACCAAGCCUAUGAUCAAUAGCUGAUUUGAGAGGAUGAUCAGCCACAUUGGGACUGAGACACGGCCCAAACUCCUACGGGAGGCAGCAGUGGGGAAUCUUGCACAAUGGAGGAAACUCUGAUGCAGCGAUGCCGCGUGAGUGAAGAAGGCCCUUGGGUUGUAAAGCUCUUUCGUCGGGGAAGAAAAUGACUGUACCCGAAUAAGAAGGUCCGGCUAACUUCGUGCCAGCAGCCGCGGUAAUACGAAGGGACCUAGCGUAGUUCGGAAUUACUGGGCUUAAAGAGUUCGUAGGUGGUUGAAAAAGUUAGUGGUGAAAUCCCAGAGCUUAACUCUGGAACUGCCAUUAAAACUUUUCAGCUAGAGUAUGAUAGAGGAAAGCAGAAUUUCUAGUGUAGAGGUGAAAUUCGUAGAUAUUAGAAAGAAUACCAAUUGCGAAGGCAGCUUUCUGGAUCAUUACUGACACUGAGGAACGAAAGCAUGGGUAGCGAAGAGGAUUAGAUACCCUCGUAGUCCAUGCCGUAAACGAUGUGUGUUAGACGUUGGAAAUUUAUUUUCAGUGUCGCAGGGAAACCGAUAAACACACCGCCUGGGGAGUACGACCGCAAGGUUAAAACUCAAAUGAAUUGACGGGGACCCGCACAAGUAGUGGAGCAUGUGGUUUAAUUCGAAGAUACGCGCAGAACCUUACCAACACUUGACAUGUUCGUCGCGACUCUAAGAGAUUAGAGUUUUCGGUUCGGCCGGACGAAACACAGGUGCUGCAUGGCUGUCGUCAGCUCGUGUCGUGAGAUGUUGGGUUAAGUCCCGCAACGAGCGCAACCCUCACUUUUAGUUGCCAUCAUUAAGUUGGGCACUCUGAAAGAACUGCCAGUGAUAAGCUGGAGGAAGGUGGGGAUGACGUCAAGUCCUCAUGGCCCUUACGUGUUGGGCUACACACGUGCUACAAUGGCAUCUACAACAGGAAGCAAAACGGCAACGUUAAGCAAAUCCCGAAAAGAUGCCUCAGUUCGGAUUGCACUCUGCAACUCGAGUGCAUGAAGCUGGAAUUACUAGUAAUCGUGGAUCAGCGUGCCACGGUGAAUGCGUUCCCGGGUCUUGUACACACCGCCCGUCACACCAUGGGAGUUGGUUCUACCUUAAGGCAAGGUUUUAAACCCUUGACCACGGUAUAGUCAGCGACUGGGGUGAAGUCGUAACAAGGUAACC